This 429-nucleotide ribosomal RNA is filed under the name Bacteroidota bacterium. RNAcentral's name for it is "Bacteroidetes bacterium partial 16S ribosomal RNA". It matches the Rfam family "Bacterial small subunit ribosomal RNA", at positions 355 to 776 of the family's 1533-position model. The record is from RNAcentral. Lineage: Bacteria; Pseudomonadati; Bacteroidota.
UAGGGAAUCUUCCGCAAUGGACGCAAGUCUGACGGAGCAACGCCGCGCGAGUGAAGAAGGAUUUCGGUUCGUAAAACUCUGUUGUUAGAGAAGAACAGCGCAUAGAGUAACUGUUAUGCGUGUGACGUUAUCUAACCAGAAAGCCACGGCUAACUACGUGCCAGCAGCCGCGGUAAUACGUAGGUGGCAAGCGUUGUCCGGAUUUAUUGGGCGUAAAGCGAGCGCAGGGGGUCAAUUAAGUCUGAUGUGAAAGCCCCCGGCUCAACCGGGGAGGGUCAUUGGAAACGGGUGGACUUGAGUGCAGAAGAGGAGAGUGGAAUUCCAUGUGUAGCGGUGAAAUGCGUAGAUAUAUGGAGGAACACCAGUGGCGAGGGCGACUCUCUGGUCUGUAACUGACGCUGAGGCUCGAGAGCGUGGGGAGCAAACAGG